UUCGGACUGAUUGAGUGGCGCACGGGUGAGUAACACGUAGGUAAUCUACCCUUUGGCGGGGGAUAACGUUCCGAAAGGGACGCUAAUACCGCAUAAGACCACGUGGUCUCCGGACCGUGUGGGAAAAGGUGGCCUCUUCUUGAAAGCUACCACCGGAGGAUGAGCCUGCGUCCCAUCAGCUAGUUGGUAAGGUAAUGGCUUACCAAGGCGAAGACGGGUAGCUGGUUUGAGAGAAUGAUCAGCCACACUGGCACUGGAACACGGGCCAGACUCCUACGGGAGGCAGCAGUGAGGAAUAUUGGGCAAUGGGCGAAAGCCUGACCCAGCCACGCCGCGUGAGUGAUGAAGGCCUUCGGGUCGUAAAGCUCUGUGGAGAGGGACGAAAACCCUGGUUUCAAAUAGGCUCCAGGCUUGACGGUACCUCUUUAGCAAGCACCGGCUAACUCUGUGCCAGCAGCCGCGGUAAUACAGAGGGUGCAAACGUUGCUCGGAUUUACUGGGCGUAAAGCGCGUGUAGGCGGGUUCGCAAGUCGGACGUGA
RNAcentral lists this ribosomal RNA (540 nucleotides) under uncultured bacterium. Its description in RNAcentral is "bacterial SSU rRNA". It matches the Rfam family "Bacterial small subunit ribosomal RNA", at positions 81 to 597 of the family's 1533-position model. The record is from RNAcentral.